Molecule: microRNA precursor, 78 nt
Filed under: Human alphaherpesvirus 2
Lineage: Duplodnaviria; Heunggongvirae; Peploviricota; Herviviricetes; Herpesvirales; Orthoherpesviridae
Description: microRNA hsv2-mir-H19 precursor
Gene: hsv2-mir-H19
Rfam family: mir-H4 microRNA precursor family
Source: miRBase by way of RNAcentral
CGGGACGGGUGAGUUCGCUAGGCAAGCACGGACUGGCGGUUACACGUGCAUGCGUGCCGAGUGAACUCUCCCGCCCCG